This is a long non-coding RNA of Homo sapiens (human), 1225 nucleotides long. Ensembl annotates it as long intergenic non-protein coding RNA 964. The record is from Ensembl. NCBI's taxonomy places the organism in Eukaryota, Metazoa, Chordata, Mammalia, Primates, Hominidae.
CAUGACCAGUGGAAGCUUCGAAGAGCUAUUGCCAAUUUCCACCCUCUCUCUGGAAACUGUCAUUAGGGUUAGGGAAACUGUCAUGAGAUCUGCAUAUUUUAGAUAGAGGCUGCUUGCCUUAUUUGGGCACCUAAUGAAAAAGACAUGGAGGCCAGGUGCGGUGGCUCAUGUCUGUAAUCCCAGCACUUUGGGAGGCCAAGGCGAGUGGAUCACCUGAGGUCAGGAGUUCGAGACCAGCCUGACCAACAUGGCAAAACCCCGUCUGUACUAAAAGUGCAAACACAAAGGGAACUGCGUGGCUUGUUUCUACCUGAACAUUGUCAAGUGAUUUCAUCCUUUGAAACACAGUUGUGAAGUGUGUCCAGCAGUCUGAGAACAAGAAGAAGAAGAAAAUCUAAUCCUUCAGGGUGUCUGUGUGCCAGCCCUGCUCUCAGCACUUCCCAUGUGGAACUCCUUUACUUCUCCUAACAACUCCAUGACAUGGGUUAGACUGUGAUUGUUCCCAUAUUGUUGGUAGGGAAACUGAGGCAUGCAGGUGUUACAGAGCUCUCUCAAGUGGCAAGCUUUCUGGGUGGUUACAGAGUGGCAGAGCUGGGGUAUCCCAUGAUGUCACCACACUGCUAUAUGGAAAAGAACAUUAAUCGAGCACCUACGUGCUUGAUUCUCUUAAUUCUGUGACUGAACUCUCAAAACACCCUGGAGCACUGCGUGUUUUGAAAUAUACAAAUAGUGGGAAACGAAAUCUUUGUUCUGGAUGCAGUUAUAAUUUGGAAAGCGAGGAAAUAAAUUAUAACAAGGGGAAAAAACAGGCCCAAUGACGCAGGAAGCAGAGGGAGGGGAGAGGCUGGAGAGAAGAAAAAGAUCCAGAGAUCUCCUGCAAGCACCAGAAAGCUCACCACCAAAAAUAAUCACAGCAAACCCCAUAACUCUGGAAGAUGAGGAUUACUGUAUGCAAGUUACUGAGGCUUAGAUUCAAUUUCUUGGUCAAGAGUCACAGAUCUUGUUUCUGAGGCAAAGGAUUUGCCCUGAUUAUUGUUACGGUAGGUAGGUAGUCAGACAUGAGCAGAGCAGGAGAGCGCCCCCACCAACCCCCAGCCAGGAAUGCCAGGUGACCAUCAUGUGAUAGUCAGGCAGUUGUUAAACUGCCUCUCUAAAAUAAUAAUUGGUUGCAGCUUGUAUCUAGGAAAGGGCAGUCUCCUAAUAAAUUGAAACACCUGAAACUGGU